RNAcentral lists this ribosomal RNA (483 nucleotides) under uncultured bacterium. Its description in RNAcentral is "partial 16S ribosomal RNA". It matches the Rfam family "Bacterial small subunit ribosomal RNA", at positions 30 to 507 of the family's 1533-position model. The record is from RNAcentral.
UUGAACGCUGGCGGCAGGCCUAACACAUGCAAGUCGAGCGGACGAAGGGAGCUUGCUCCUGGAUUCAGCGGCGGACGGGUGAGUAAUGCCUAGGAAUCUGCCUGGUAGUGGGGGAUAACGUCCGGAAACGGGCGCUAAUACCGCAUACGUCCUGAGGGAGAAAGUGGGGGAUCUUCGGACCUCACGCUAUCAGAUGAGCCUAGGUCGGAUUAGCUAGUUGGUGGGGUAAAGGCCUACCAAGGCGACGAUCCGUAACUGGUCUGAGAGGAUGAUCAGUCACACUGGAACUGAGACACGGUCCAGACUCCUACGGGAGGCAGCAGUGGGGAAUAUUGGACAAUGGGCGAAAGCCUGAUCCAGCCAUGCCGCGUGUGUGAAGAAGGUCUUCGGAUUGUAAAGCACUUUAAGUUGGGAGGAAGGGCGGUAAGUUAAUACCUUGCUGUUUUGACGUUACCAACAGAAUAAGCACCGGCUAACUUCGUG